RNAcentral lists this ribosomal RNA (808 nucleotides) under uncultured Pseudomonadota bacterium. Its description in RNAcentral is "bacterial SSU rRNA". It matches the Rfam family "Bacterial small subunit ribosomal RNA", at positions 71 to 859 of the family's 1533-position model. Lineage: Bacteria; Pseudomonadati; Pseudomonadota. The record is from RNAcentral.
AAAGUCCCGCAAGGGAUCAGUAGAGUGGCAAACGGGUGAGUAACGCGUGGGUGACCUGCCUUCGAGCGGGGGAUAACGUUCCGAAAGGGACGCUAAUACCGCAUAACAUCCUGCUUUUUAAGAAGUGGAGAUCAAAGCCUGGGACCGCAAGGCCAGGCACUCGAAGAGGGGCCCGCGACCGAUUAGCUAGUUGGUGGGGUAAUGGCUCACCAAGGCUCCGAUCGGUAUCCGGCCUGAGAGGGCGGACGGACACACUGGGACUGAGACACGGCCCAGACUCCUACGGGAGGCAGCAGUGGGGAAUUGUUCGCAAUGGGCGCAAGCCUGACGACGCAACGCCGCGUGGAGGAUGAAGAUCUUCGGGUCGUAAACUCCUUUCGAUCGAGACGAACGGCUUCCGGGUAACAUCCGGGAGAGUGACGGUACCGAGAGAAGAAGCCCCGGCUAACUCCGUGCCAGCAGCCGCGGUAAUACGGGGGGGGCAAGCGUUGUUCGGAAUUACUGGGCGUAAAGGGCUCGUAGGUGGCCAACUAAGUCAGACGUGAAAUCCCUCGGCUUAACCGGGGAACUGCGUCUGAUACUGGAUGGCUUGAGUUUGGGAGAGGGACGCGGAAUUCCAGGUGUAGCGGUGAAAUGCGUAGAUAUCUGGAGGAACACCGGUGGCGAAGGCGGCGUCCUGGACCAACACUGACACUGAUGAGCGAAAGCCAGGGGAGCAAACGGGAUUAGAUACCCCGGUAGUCCUGGCCCUAAACGAUGAAUGCUUGGUGUGGCGGGUAUCGAUCCCUGCCGUGCCGAAGCUAACGCA